Molecule: ribosomal RNA, 575 nt
Filed under: uncultured fungus
Lineage: Eukaryota; Fungi
Description: eukaryotic LSU rRNA
Rfam family: 5.8S ribosomal RNA (bases 211-364)
Source: RNAcentral
GGAAGUAAAAGUCGUAACAAGGUCUCCGUAGGUGAGCCUGCGGAGGGAUCAUUACAAGUGACCCCGGUCUAACCACCGGGAUGUUCAUAACCCUUUGUUGUCCGACUCUGUUGCCUCCGGGGCGACCCUGCCUUCGGGCGGGGGCUCCGGGUGGACACUUCAAACUCUUGCGUAACUUUGCAGUCUGAGUAAACUUAAUUAAUAAAUUAAAACUUUUAACAACGGAUCUCUUGGUUCUGGCAUCGAUGAAGAACGCAGCGAAAUGCGAUAAGUAAUGUGAAUUGCAGAAUUCAGUGAAUCAUCGAAUCUUUGAACGCACAUUGCGCCCCCUGGUAUUCCGGGGGGCAUGCCUGUUCGAGCGUCAUUUCACCACUCAAGCCUCGCUUGGUAUUGGGCAACGCGGUCCGCCGCGUGCCUCAAAUCGACCGGCUGGGUCUUCUGUCCCCUAAGCGUUGUGGAAACUAUUCGCUAAAGGGUGCUCGGGAGGCUACGCCGUAAAACAAACCCAUUUCUAAGGUUGACCUCGGAUCAGGUAGGGAUACCCGCUGAACUUAAGCAUAUCAAUAAGCGGAGGA